This 291-nucleotide long non-coding RNA is filed under the name Cicer arietinum (chickpea). RNAcentral's name for it is "long non-coding RNA (CARI_LNC001921)". Lineage: Eukaryota; Viridiplantae; Streptophyta; Magnoliopsida; Fabales; Fabaceae. The record is from RNAcentral.
CUCUUCCGUUAUUAAAACCGGCGAAGACAUCUCUAUCUCCCCACAGGAUUCACCUCUCCCUCUUCCUCCCUCUGCCGUCGCCGCCGCAACAACUCCCGCCGUCACCGAAGCUUUAAUCGAAAAAACCGAGGAGCAAAGGUUGAGCUAUUUGGAUUCUGUGAUUGGUUUCCAUUCCUGAAAAUAACCACACAAUAUCACUAUAAAAUAUCAAGUAAAAUAUAUGGUCACAUUAAAAGGGAAAAAGAAGUCAUGAACUCACAUCCCAGGAGUGCUAUUUCUUGAAGGCAAAUU